This is a long non-coding RNA of Marmota monax (woodchuck), 2023 nucleotides long. RefSeq lists it as uncharacterized. The transcript is spliced from 7 exons. Lineage: Eukaryota; Metazoa; Chordata; Mammalia; Rodentia; Sciuridae. The record is from RefSeq and is a predicted model, not a curated record.
GGAAAGGGCACUAGAGCUGUGCGCAUGCGCAAAACAGGACGCGCGUACCAGGGUCAGGUCGUGGAGCUCACGUGACUCGGGGUGAUCCUGGACGCUCCCUUAUUAGGAAAGGUCUUCGGCCAAGGAGUCGCUUGGUGGAAGAGGUGCUUAGGAGCGAAGCUGCAACUGCGACCCAAGCAGGUGAAGAGGUCUCUGCCCUCCCAAAGAAGAAGUCCGAAAAAGAAACACGUCUCAGUGGUCUGACGAUACGAUUAAAGAUGAUGCAGGGUCACCGGGAAUUCGUCCAGUGUCCUGUCAGUAUCGGAUAAGGCGGCUCAUUCCUAAGAUAUGUUUAUUGUCCACCACGUGUCAGGCUCUAUUCUAGGAUCUGUGGAUGCAACAGUGAGGAAAGCAGUCAAAUGAGGGCUGUAGCUCAGUGGCACAGUGCUUGCCCUUGGGUCCAGUCCUCAGCACCAAAACCAAAAAGAGGUGAAAGUCCUUUAACCAGUUCAGCCUUUGGAGAGACACAUGUGCAAAGGCUCUUAGCCGCACGCCACUGAAAUCAGCAAUCUGACUGCUAAGAGCAGGUGUUGGUCCCAGCGCUUCUGCCUAUGCACCACUCCAAAUUUGAGUGGAGAAGGGUACUCUUCCUAGUACUAAAGGAAGCGCCCUGGGAAUAGACCCACACACCUGUCAGGUCGGCGUGGGGCUCCCAACCUCGCCUGCACAUUGGAAUCACCUUCAAAAACUGCAGCUGUCUGGCGCUCAAUAGCCCAGCAAAUUAAAUUCCCGGAGCAAAACUUUGGGAAGGCUUUCACUGGAUUUUGCUUCAGUCUCCUUAUCUCUGGAAGUGUCUGAAAUAAGGCCCAACCAAGGAGAUGGGAGUGAGAGAUUAGGCCAUGUGUCGCUCUCCACGCCUGGACUUCUUCACCCGGGAGUGACAUCUCUCUGAAAAGCAACAGGAGACGAAGCCCAGUGCCGGCACAUAUCCCAGGCAGCUGCUGUGCCACGAUUCUGCUGAUUUUGCACCUGCUAAAGGAAUUCCUGGGACCUGCCUAGAAUCAGUGUCGGGUGGAUGCAAACUGAUGCCCAGGUGUGCUACGCAGGCCCCUUGAGGGAGCAUCCCCGGAAGGAGACGCUAAUAAAGGCUAUGAGCGGGGACUGGGUUUCACCAACAACUGGAAUCCGAGUGGUCAGUCAGACCCUGCCCUGGCCCGGGCACCCUCCACAGCACACCCUUUGAAAGACAAAGGAGUAACACCAAAGCCUUUACCCUUGCCUCUGCCUGUAGAUGCACCCCAUCCUACCUGCCCAGCCUCCGGUGCCCUGUCCUUGUGGCUGACAGGGUGGGCCUGUCCCUGGGCUGACCCCUGCUUUAUGCUCGCAGCAACUGUAUUCCAGGAAAUAUGAAAACACGCCUGACAGGAAAGACCCAUGGAAGUUCUGCUCAGUGUUUUCCAGGAAUGGUGCAGGCGCAUCACGCACAGGAGAUCCCAGACGUCUGAAGCCAAGAGGAACAAAGCCUCCCGAGCAGGCCUGGAUAUCCCCACAGCCACAUCCGUGCCUAUCCGAGGAGGGAAAGCUACGUGCAGAGAAUGGACUUGGAGAAAACCGAGUGGCUGCCAGCUUCAGUGCCUCUUGUCCCAAGUGCUGGAACUGGCCAGCAACAUGGCCCUGCAAGCCAAGAUGAGCAAGUAUGUAUCAUGCUAUAAUUGGACAUGACUAGACGUCUGGUGAGAGGCAGGUGGAGGAGAAAGUACCAUAAAAUGCAUUAUGUCAUGAAGAUCACCCAAGAGGAGGCGGGACCCUCUGUGGCUGGCCCACUGGAUCUUCUCUGCAGUUCACUCUUUUCUGAGGGGGGCAGAGGAAGAGAGUCAUUUAAAACUGUCAGUUUGGGCUGGGGAUGUGGCUCAAGCGGUAGCGCACUCGCCUGGCGUGUGUGCGGCCCAGGUUCGAUCCUCAGCACCACAUACAAACAAAGAUGUUGUGUCUGCCAAAAACUAAAAAAUAAAUAUUAAAAAAUUCUCUCUAAUAAAAAAUAAUA